Molecule: transfer RNA, 72 nt
Filed under: Marmota monax (woodchuck)
Lineage: Eukaryota; Metazoa; Chordata; Mammalia; Rodentia; Sciuridae
Description: tRNA.Ala
Rfam family: tRNA
About the family: Transfer RNA (tRNA) molecules are approximately 80 nucleotides in length. Their secondary structure includes four short double-helical elements and three loops (D, anti-codon, and T loops).
Source: RNAcentral
GGAGUUGUGGCUCAGUGGCAGAGCACUCACCUAGCAUGUGUGAGGCCCUGGGUUCGUUCCUCAGCACCACAA